RNAcentral lists this non-coding RNA (26 nucleotides) under Mus musculus (house mouse). Lineage: Eukaryota; Metazoa; Chordata; Mammalia; Rodentia; Muridae. The record is from RNAcentral.
UGACGGGAAAGGAGCUCAGAUGUCUG